This 644-nucleotide long non-coding RNA is filed under the name Phasianus colchicus (ring-necked pheasant). RNAcentral's name for it is "lncRNA (ENSPCLG00000013002.1)". Lineage: Eukaryota; Metazoa; Chordata; Aves; Galliformes; Phasianidae. The record is from RNAcentral.
AUGAGUGUAGCAGAGUCACAACAGGAAAACUUGACUGAGAAGAACACAGCGGGCACGCUGGAGCUGCCUGACUUGCCCCUGCAGAAGGGCUCUGUGAAGCUCCUCACGCAGAGAUGGGAGUGUGCCAGUGCUCCAAGAUCCAGCUUGACACCCCGACGCCUACCAGCCCUAAGGUCUCCAGUGCCAGAUAAAACAAGACAGAGCAGCAACGUGGAGAAAGUCCUGGCAGACAGUGAGAGGGUGGAGGUAUUCAAGGAGGAGCCCCUGGGUGGCCCUCGCCAGAUCGAGCGCUCCGCCAUCGCUGUGAAGGAGCUGCAGAGCCGUUUUGAGAUCCUGGGUGGCAGAAAGGUGACCCUCCAAAUGAAAAGAAGUUCUAAUAAAGAAGAGAAGCAAAGGCUCAGUAGAAGGAAUGGGAGGUGAGGGGAAUGGAGUGAAGAAAGUGUUCAUUUCAUCUGCUUGCCAAGAUGCACCUGAAAAGUAUUUGAGUAUAUGUCAGUGUAGGUCUUCCAAACUUGGCUAAAAAUUAUUUUCUCUCAGGGUCACCCAACCUGAGGCAGGAACUGGAAUUGAAGCUGAUGUAUUAGGCACUAAAGGACAUUCCAUGAGAUUGAAUGGAUAGUUAAUAAAAUAUGCAUUUUUAUUCA